AGAUACCACUAAACAACCGAAGGAAAUGGUUCACGCUUAUGUUUUGUUCUGUUUGUGCUGGCGGUGUUUAACUGGUGUGUUCGGUGAGUCGCUGUCGGUGACCGAGGGAGAUUCCGUCACUUUACACACCGACGCUUCUCAGAUACAUCAAGAUGAAGACAUACUGUGGAAAUUUGGAGCUCAAAAGUCUCUUAUAGCUCAAAUCAAGAGAGAAAAACAAAUCUUCCCCGAUGUUAGAUUCAGAGAAGGAGUGAAGCUGGAUCAUCAGACCGGAUCUCUGACCAUCACGAGCGUCUCAACUAAACACACUGGACCCUACGAAGUAAAGAUUAGUGGAGAAAAACGCUCAAUAAAGAAAUUCAGAGUUUCUGUCUAUGCUCGUCUGCCCACUCCCAACAUUACCAGAGAUUCUUCACUGAAUAGUUUAUCAUCAUCACCAUCAUCGAAUUGUUCGUUGUUGUGUUCGGCGGAGAACGUGGGCCACGUGACUCUCUCCUGGUACAAAGGAAACAGUUUAUUGUCCAGCAUCAGUGUGUCUGAUCUCAGCAUCAGUCUCUCUCUACCUCUGGAGGUGGAACAUCAGGAUAAAAACACCUACAGCUGUGUGAUCAACAACCCCAUCAGAAAGCAGACCACACACCUCAAUGUCACUCAGAUCUGUCAAAUUCACUCAGAUCAGAGCCAGCUCUUGUUUUACGUUCUGCUGAUUUCCGCUGCUGCUGGGUCUCUGUUGAUUAUGGCUACAGUUGCGAUGUGCUGCAGGAAAUAAAAAAAACGUUGACACCCAGGAAGAAAACAGAAUGGCAUUGUGUAAACCAACAAGAAAAACGAACUCAAAGAUGGAUAUUGUCCAUCAAAAUUACCCCCAAAACACGAGUUCCAGAUGAAACUACUGGAACUUAAACUGGAUC
This is an RNA transcript of Puntigrus tetrazona (Sumatra barb), 911 nucleotides long. RefSeq lists it as uncharacterized. NCBI's taxonomy places the organism in Eukaryota, Metazoa, Chordata, Actinopteri, Cypriniformes, Cyprinidae. The transcript has 6 exons. The record is from RefSeq and is a predicted model, not a curated record.